Molecule: ribosomal RNA, 402 nt
Filed under: Clostridiaceae bacterium enrichment culture
Lineage: Bacteria; Bacillati; Bacillota; Clostridia; Eubacteriales; Clostridiaceae
Description: bacterial SSU rRNA
Rfam family: Bacterial small subunit ribosomal RNA
Source: RNAcentral
UGGGGAAUAUUGCACAAUGGGCGAAAGCCUGAUGCAGCAACGCCGCGUGAGUGAUGAAGGCCUUCGGGUUGUAAAGCUCUGUCUUCUGGGACGAUAAUGACGGUACCAGAGAAGGAAGCCACGGCUAACUACGUGCCAGCAGCCGCGGUAAUACGUAGGUGGCAAGCGUUGUCCGGAUUUACUGGGCGUAAAGGAUGCGUAGGCGGAUAUUUAAGUCAGAUGUGAAAAUCCCGGGCUUAACUUGGGAACUGCAUUUGAAACUGGGUAUCUAGAGUGCAGGAGAGGAAAGCGGAAUUCCUAGUGUAGCGGUGAAAUGCGUAGAGAUUAGGAAGAACACCAGUGGCGAAGGCGGCUUUCUGGACUGUAACUGACGCUGAGGCAUGAAAGCGUGGGGAGCAAACA